AGCGAACGCUGGCGGCAGGCCUAACACAUGCAAGUCGAACGAACCUUUCGGGGUUAGUGGCGGACGGGUGAGUAACACGUGGGAACGUGCCUUUAGGUUCGGAAUAACUCAGGUACACUUGUGCUAAUACCGAAUGUGCCCUUCGGGGGAAAGAUUAAUCGCCUUUAGAGCGGCCCGCGUCUGAUUAGCUAGUUGGUUGAGGUAAUGGCUCACCAAGGCGACGAUCAGUAGCUGGUCUGAGAGGAUGAUCAGCCACAUUGGGACUGAGACACGGCCCAAACUCCUACGGGAGGAAGCAGUGGGGAAUCUUGCGCAAUGGGCGAAAGCAUGACGCAGCCAUGCCGCGUGAAUGAUGAAGGUCUUAGGAUUGUAAAAUUCUUUCACCGGGGACGAUAAUGACGGUACCCGGAGAAGAAGCCCCGGCUAACUUCGUG
Molecule: ribosomal RNA, 434 nt
Filed under: uncultured bacterium
Lineage: Bacteria
Description: partial 16S ribosomal RNA
Rfam family: Bacterial small subunit ribosomal RNA
Source: RNAcentral